UACGAAGGGGGCUAGCGUUGCUCGGAAUCACUGGGCGUAAAGGGUGCGUAGGCGGGUCUUUAAGUCAGGGGUGAAAUCCUGGAGCUCAACUCCAGAACUGCCUUUGAUACUGAAGAUCUUGAGUUCGGGAGAGGUGAGUGGAACUGCGAGUGUAGAGGUGAAAUUCGUAGAUAUUGGGAAGAACACCGGUGGCGAAGGCGGCUCACUGGCCCGUAACUGACGCUCAUGCACGACAGCGUGGGGAUCAAACAGG
RNAcentral lists this ribosomal RNA (253 nucleotides) under uncultured bacterium. RNAcentral describes it as "partial 16S ribosomal RNA". It matches the Rfam family "Bacterial small subunit ribosomal RNA", at positions 524 to 776 of the family's 1533-position model. The record is from RNAcentral.